This 1165-nucleotide long non-coding RNA is filed under the name Equus caballus (horse). RNAcentral's name for it is "lncRNA (ENSECAG00000053701.1)". The record is from RNAcentral. Lineage: Eukaryota; Metazoa; Chordata; Mammalia; Perissodactyla; Equidae.
AUUUUAUCAUAACUGAAAAAUGAAAUCACUUAACACAAAUAUUUAAUACAUAAUUUCCUUAAAAUUUUUCUAUGGCGAAACAAAACUGUGCAUAUUUUUAAAGAGUGUAUAUAAUAUCAUCAAUACUCAUGACAACCUCAAAACAAUUAGCACUGGUAUAGCUUCAAAUUCUUAUUAGUUGUGGCUAUUUUUGAAAAAAAGUUGCAAUGCUUAUUAGGGCCCAGCAUACCAGCAAGCCUUAAUUUUACAGUGUCAUAGAGUUCAAAAAGUGGCAUUAUAGUUUGAAGACACUGUAAGUCGCCAUUUCUUUCUUGUAAGUCUCUUAAAACAGGCUGGAAAACUAUUCAGUACCUCAUAUAUAAUAACCAACAAAAACAUUUCCAUUGAGUACUUUUUGCCCAGAGUGAUUAAGGACAAAAAAAAUAGGAAUUCUUGUUGCUUUAUUAUCCGAUAACUGCUAAGAAGCUCCUGUUAGAAGUUCUUCAGACAUUACACCAAGUCGUCUUGGUCUUCUGAUCAUAUAUAUAUUCACAUAUAUAUGCAUUUUUUCAAGUAAAGAAAUGUUUAACAGAUGUAAACUAUUUAUUGAAUAUUUGCCACCAAAUAUUGUUAAAUACAUUAUCUUGCAGCAUAUCGCUUUCAAGUUAAAAUGUCAGAAACAAACACCAAUAUUUACAAUUCUUUUAAGGAAUGUUAUAUAAUGACACAUUAAGGCGUAAAUUCUUUUGGCUUAUAAUUCUUAAAAGAAUGAUAAUAGCAAAAGUGAUGCAAAAUCUUCAGUGUGAGAUUAUGAUUAAGCUACAUUUUACAAAAAUAUGGUGUAAGAUGGCAAUAAUCCCAUUCAACAUCCUGGAUUGGAUCCCUUCAGGAGGGACGGAUAAUUUAUACAGUCAAACUUUAAAAUUUACAGAUAAGGCAGUUCAAUACUGCCACUGAGAGUACAUCUCUUAACAUAUACAACUUUCAGGCCACAGUUUUGAAGGUCUGAAGUAUCAAGUUGGUUUGAUGAAUUAGUCGGUUGGCACUUAUGAACACAUUUAUUGCCCUGUUAAAAAAAAAAAAGAAAGAACAGGCUUUAACUUUAUCUAAAAAAUUCAUCCUUUGAAAACAUUUAUACUUAACGCCAUCUACUAACACUAGCAAGGACAACAAUUUAGGAAAAAAG